GGGGAAUUAACUUAGUUCGGGAGAGCGUUGCAAUAGCAUUGCAACGCUCAAGGGUUCAAGCCACGUAUUUUCCA
Molecule: transfer RNA, 74 nt
Filed under: Bacillus sp. CDB3
Lineage: Bacteria; Bacillati; Bacillota; Bacilli; Caryophanales; Bacillaceae
Description: tRNA-Ala
Source: RNAcentral